Molecule: ribosomal RNA, 408 nt
Filed under: uncultured bacterium
Lineage: Bacteria
Description: partial 16S ribosomal RNA
Rfam family: Bacterial small subunit ribosomal RNA
Source: RNAcentral
GACGAACGCUGGCGGCGUGCUUAACACAUGCAAGUCGAACGAAGUGGCGAACGGGUGAGUAACGCGUAAUCAACCUGCCCUUCAGAGGGGGACAAAAGUUGGAAACGACUGCUAAUACCGCAUACUGAAGGAGGGGAGUGCGUCGGAUUAGCUAGUUGGAGGGGUAACGGCCCACCAAGGAGAGGAGCAGUAGCCGGGCUGAGAGGAGGAACGGCACCCUUGGGACUGAGACACGGCCCAGACUCCUACGGGAGGCAGCAGUGGGGAAUCUUUCGCAAUGGACGAAAGUCUGACGGAGCAACGCCGCGUGAGUGAUGACGGCCUUCGGGUUGGAAAGCUCUGUUAAUCGGGACGCGGUACCGGAAUAGAAAGCCACGGCUAACUACGUGCCAGCCGCCGCGGUAAUAC